Molecule: long non-coding RNA, 339 nt
Filed under: Nicotiana benthamiana
Lineage: Eukaryota; Viridiplantae; Streptophyta; Magnoliopsida; Solanales; Solanaceae
Description: long non-coding RNA (NBEN_LNC027490)
Source: RNAcentral
CGCUAAUUUAAAACUUACGAUUAUGUCAAAUGCUAACAGUGAAUCAUUCUCCCAAAAUAAAUGAAAUUUCUUUUUCUGUUUCCAGAUUCAAACUCUUUUUUCUUUCGCCUUGCAACAUUAACUUCACUUGUUUUCUCUCUUCAAAUAAUUCCUUUUUCCACGUCUCUUUUUUCUUGAAAUUGCUCUGCUGGGAGCAAGCCAUUGGAGAAUAAAAACUUUGGACGAGGAAAGAAAAUAUCGAGAAUGAGAGACUAGAGCAACUUUGGACAGAGAAACAAAAAUAUAUAGAGAAGGUACAGCAAUACUGAGGGGCAAUUUGGGCAGAGGAAGAGAAUGAGG